GACGGGUAUCGUCCAGCGGGGCAGAUACAGCAGGACUUUACCCUGGGACGUGGCUAUAAAAAGCCUGGAGUCUCGGUGUGUGAGACACAGGUCUGCACCAAGGAGAGACUCCAGGAUCGAGCAGCUGCUGAACGCUGAACCUUCAGAAUCAAAAACCAAUCAUGAAGACCCUGCUGGUUCUGGCUCUUGCCCUCGUCUCUGUGUGCAAUGCCAACAUCCUGUGGCCUGAACCUGCCAAGACCAACCUGGAGGUGGUGAAAGAUGCAUUCUGGGACUACGUGGCCAAAGCCACCCUGACGGCCGAGGACUCACUGAAGCAGAUCAGAGAGUCUGAGCUCGGACAGGAAGUCAAGUAAGAACAAAAGAAAUACAAA
Long non-coding RNA from Cynoglossus semilaevis (tongue sole), 374 nucleotides. RefSeq lists it as uncharacterized. Lineage: Eukaryota; Metazoa; Chordata; Actinopteri; Pleuronectiformes; Cynoglossidae. The transcript has 3 exons. The record is from RefSeq and is a predicted model, not a curated record.